This is a non-coding RNA of Schistosoma margrebowiei, 45 nucleotides long. The record is from Rfam. Lineage: Eukaryota; Metazoa; Platyhelminthes; Trematoda; Strigeidida; Schistosomatidae.
AUCCAGCUGACGAGUCCCAAGAAGGAUAAAAUGCGCGUCUUGGAU